GACAGCAGUAGCCACGGUAAUACAGAGGAUGCAAGCGUUAUCCGGAAUGAUUGGGCGUAAAGUGUCUAUAGGUGGCUUUUCAAGUCCGCCGUCAAAUCCCAGGGCUCAACCGGGGAGGGUCAUUGGAAACUGGGAAACUUGAGUGCAGAAGAGGAGAGUGGAAUUCCACGUGUAGCGGUGAAAUGCGUAGAGAUGUGGAGGAACACCAGUGGCGAAGGCGACUCUCUGGUCUGUAACUGACGCUGAGGAGCGAAAGCGUGGGGAGCGAACAGGAUUAGAUACCCGCGUAGUCCCUGUCUCUUAUAC
Molecule: ribosomal RNA, 306 nt
Filed under: uncultured bacterium
Lineage: Bacteria
Description: partial 16S ribosomal RNA
Rfam family: Bacterial small subunit ribosomal RNA
Source: RNAcentral